GGCGUCCUUCGGGCUGUCCGAGUUGUAAUCUAUAGAAGUGUUUUCCGUGCCGGACCAUGUCCAAGUCCCUUGGAACAGGGUAUCAAAGAGGGUGACAAUCCCGUACUUGACAUGACCACCGGUGCUCUGUGAUACACUUUCUACGAGUCGAGUUGUUUGGGAAUGCAGCUCAAAAUGGGUGGUAAAUUCCAUCUAAAGCUAAAUAUUGGCGAGAGACCGAUAGCGAACAAGUACCGUGAGGGAAAGAUGAAAAGCACUUUGGAAAGAGAGUUAAACAGUACGUGAAAUUGUUGAAAGGGAAACGAUUGAAGUCAGUCGUGUUCUUUGGACUCAGCCGGUUCUUCCGGUCUAUUUCCUUUGAACGGGUCAACAUCAGUUUUGUCCGGUGGAUAAAGGCAGGAAGAAAGUGGCUCCCUCGGGAGUGUUAUAGCUUUCUGUCACAUACACUGGAGGAGACUGAGGACUGCAGCUCGCCUUUUGGCCGGGGUUCGCCCACGUUCGAGCUUAGGAUGUUGACAUAAUGGCU
RNAcentral lists this ribosomal RNA (526 nucleotides) under Vanrija musci. Its description in RNAcentral is "eukaryotic LSU rRNA". It matches the Rfam family "Eukaryotic large subunit ribosomal RNA", at positions 124 to 639 of the family's 3401-position model. Lineage: Eukaryota; Fungi; Basidiomycota; Tremellomycetes; Trichosporonales; Trichosporonaceae. The record is from RNAcentral.